This is a non-coding RNA of Prunus avium (sweet cherry), 1247 nucleotides long. The record is from RefSeq and is a predicted model, not a curated record. Lineage: Eukaryota; Viridiplantae; Streptophyta; Magnoliopsida; Rosales; Rosaceae.
ACCAUUGUUUUCAAGCUCCAGAAUUUGAUAUAGGACUGUCGUUCUUACCGUUGUGGGUCUUGUGGCAAAUUGGCAAUUGCUGCUGUUGCUUUGAUAUCCAUAUGCAUUUAUUUGGGAGUGAUGCGGAUGACAAAGGAAACAUUAGUUGAAGAAGGUAAGUUGAGAAUGUCAUUGUAAAUAGUACCGGCCUUGAGCACAGAAAAUGCGACCGCUUUGUACCCUAAAAUAUUUUGUUUACAAGAAAUUGCUUGUAGCGGGAUUGGUAUGCAAAAUAAAGCCUCAAAUAAGUAUAUAUGAUAUAUUUCUUUAUUUCGGUGUGAGAGUUAAAUAUAACAUUGUACAUUCAUUACAUUACAGCAAUUGUUACCGUAGUGGGAUUGAUUUGCAAUUCAUAGUUUGUAGGAUGUUCGGAGUUCAAAUCCCGAUGGGAUCAAUCUUUUCUGAAAAUAUUCAUCAAUUUUUUUUGACUGGGUCAUCUGGGGAUCUAGAAAGAUUUUUAUUUUUAUUUUUAUUUUUUAUCCACGGCUAAAAGUACUAAGAGCCCGUGGCAGCUGCCUCCUGUGUGAUUAAUGGCGGAUUUGUUUGCUCGAAUGACUGCUCUCGUAAACAAUACGGGAGUGGUUGUUGAGAUACGAGAGGUCGAGAAGGGAGAUGAUGUUGGGAAAGGCAAACUAGUUGCUAGGCUGCAAAAUGGGAAUCGCAAAGUGAUCAGAGGGAUGAAAUUUUUGGAUCGAAUGGCUUAUUUGGGCCCCAGAAGCAUUCAUGUCACUGCGAUACUUGCUGCUGGUACCACCACGAAGAUCUUUCCAGCGCAGUAUUUCGCUGACUACGGACGGGUCGUCUUUCGGCUAGACAACCAAAAACUGAAGUCUGAUCCAGAAGAGAUGUCCGAUAUCCGCCGCAUGAGGCCGGUUAGGUUCUUAACAUGUGUUUGAGCAAAUCAUCAAAACGGCAGGCGCGGAUCAUGAGCAAUAUUCAUCGGGAGUGGUGACAUUGACUAUGCUGUUUUUCGGGGUGUAAUGAUUUGGGAAAGCUCUUCGAACGAAGAUCAUCUGGUUGAAUUUAGCUGGUUUGUCAUCAGGACUUUAUAUGAUUUCUGAGGAGAUCUUACGUUGGGUUAUGUAAUUUUAUUUACUCUAAUAAGACUAUUGGUGAAGUAAUUGUCAUCUGUGAUGACAAAAACCAUGACUAUUGGUGAAGUAAUUGUCAUCCAAAGCAAGUUAAUAAUGUCAAACCUUUUUAUGCUA